RNAcentral lists this ribosomal RNA (492 nucleotides) under uncultured bacterium. RNAcentral describes it as "partial 16S ribosomal RNA". It matches the Rfam family "Bacterial small subunit ribosomal RNA", at positions 29 to 507 of the family's 1533-position model. The record is from RNAcentral.
AGUGAACGCUGGCGGUAGGCCUAACACAUGCAAGUCGAACGGCAGCACAGUAAGAGCUUGCUCUUACGGGUGGCGAGUGGCGGACGGGUGAGGAAUACAUCGGAAUCUACUUUUUCGUGGGGGUUCACGUAGGGAAACUUACGCUAAUACCGCAUACGACCUACGGGUGAAAGCAGGGGAUCUUCGGACCUUGCGCGAUUGAAUGAGCCGAUGUCGGAUUAGCUAGUUGGCGGGGUAAAGGCCCACCAAGGCGACGAUCCGUAGCUGGUCUGAGAGGAUGAUCAGCCACACUGGAACGGAGACACGGUCCAGACUCCUACGGUAGGCAGCAGUGGGGAAUAUUGGACAGAGGGCGCAAGCCUGAUCCAGCCAUACCGCGUGGGUGAAGAAGGCCUUCGGGUUGUAAAGCCCUUUUGUUGGGAAAGAAAAGCAGCAGGUUAAUACCCCGCUGUUCUGGCGGUACCCAAAGAAUAAGCACCGGCUAACUUCGUG